AGGACGUCCAUGAUUUCUGACCUAACACAAAAAAAAAGACCAUUAUAGGGUGUAAUUUGGCAAAACUAGGGAUGAAAAUAACAAAGCCCACAUUACUAAUAUCAGUUUUCUGGUUUUUCAUCUGAAAAAUUUGCACUUCGUGCAUUUUGCUGAACUGAACUUCAUCAUGCCGCGGGAACCGAAGAGCCUCGGCGUGAAGAUCCUAUGGAUUUGGACCUUUGGAACCGCUGCUAUUCUUGUUACGAACGUGAUGCGCACAAGAAUAAGGGAAAUGGAAACACUCAUGAACGCCGAACAACAACAGCACGAUGUCGCAACCACUGACUCGUCUUUUAUUUCAGACAAUAAAGAUUGAUUUGCAUUUAGUUUUUUUUUUAUUUCCGUUUCGGUCCUGGAGUUUGUGAUGCUUUGUAAACUCGUGGAAUGCAAAGGGCACGCAACGUGUUUGUUGAAUGUCCUGACUGAAAAAUAAGGCUGGGACAACCAGCGGAAUAUGGAAACCCAUUUGCGAUUAUGAGAUUUUUAAUAUUUUAUCUCAUCAUUUUGGUGUGUUAUAAUUCGGAUU
Glycine soja is the source of this 565-nucleotide long non-coding RNA. RefSeq lists it as uncharacterized. Lineage: Eukaryota; Viridiplantae; Streptophyta; Magnoliopsida; Fabales; Fabaceae. The record is from RefSeq and is a predicted model, not a curated record. The transcript is spliced from 2 exons.